RNA transcript from Lycium ferocissimum, 1986 nucleotides. It is a transcript of the gene named protein COFACTOR ASSEMBLY OF COMPLEX C SUBUNIT B CCB4, chloroplastic, with no coding region annotated. The record is from RefSeq and is a predicted model, not a curated record. NCBI's taxonomy places the organism in Eukaryota, Viridiplantae, Streptophyta, Magnoliopsida, Solanales, Solanaceae. The transcript is spliced from 9 exons.
AUUUGUGACUGGAAGUAAGCUGCUAUUAUCCGUUUAAGGAACAUCAGAAUCAGAGAGAAAAUGGAAGCGGGAAAUGUUGUUGGUUACAUUCCGUUAAAGCAACAGCUACAAAAACGACUUGUCCAUUCUCCUCCUCGUCUCUCUUCUUUCCCUCGCACUCUUACUGUUACCGCUAAGGCUUCUCUAAGUUCCCAGGGAGAAAGUGGGUAUAGAGGGCCGAAGCCAAGGAGGGAAUGGAUAGCUGAUUGGGUAUCCAAUAAUGAUGAUUUGGUUCGCAGUAUGCCAAUAUACGUUGGUGGAUUGUCUUUAUUGGCUGUUCUCUUCAAUCGCACCGUCUCUGGUAUUGCUCCCGUCGCUGAUGCUAGCAGUUCUCAAUCCAGAGCAGAUUUACUAACACUUGGCUUGGCAGUGACGAACAUCUUGAAUGGUCUUGUUUGGCUUUCCAUUCGACCAAAAUCCAUAUCUGUGGUAAAUCCUAACGGCGUGGAGUGCCAAAGAAUAGCUUCUCACCUACCAAAUUUUGUUAUUUCUGAGCUGCUAUGGGCAUGGAAUUCUCUAUCAGAUGUCACAUGCUGCAGGUCUCUGGUCAUUGUUUAUGAUGGAAAAUUUAUACUUCAAAUUGGGUUUGCUUUCUUUAAUGGAAGUGAUGCAGUAGUUGUGGACACUAAUAAAUUGAUAGAAGGAUCACUUUACCAAGGAGUUUUAAAAUCUGCAUCACAGAGCUACUUGGCCAACUUAUCUCUUUAUCCUGGGAAGUCCGAGCUACCAUUUCUUCCUUCAAAUACACAGGCAGUAAUCUUGCAACCUCUAGGAGACAAAGGAAUUGCCAUAAUUGGUGGUGAUAUGAUCAGAGGAUUCACAUCUUCUGACCAGGCAUGGAUCACAUUGAUUGGAGAGAAGUUAGAUGCUACACUGACAAAAGUUAUUUGACAUUCCUAGUGGCAGUGCGAGAUUGAUGUUUCAAGACAUUUAAACUGCAGUAUCUUAAGUUCAAGCAUUUGCCUAUAAUCAUCAUGUCUUCAUUCAAGGAACAAAGAGUGGUAAUAUUCUUUCCAUGAUUGUUUGCUUUGAAAUGAUUUUCCCUGCGAGUUUAAGCUCCGCUUUCAUGUUGAUUGGUGAUAGGAUGAGAUACCAAGGAGGUAACUUUUUCAUAUUUCUUGUGAGAAAAUGAGGAAGAUUAUAAUACAGAGAAAGCUAUAACUGAGAUUUCCUUCCUGGACCUCCCAUCUCCUAAGGCAUAGUUUGUAAUAGUUAUCCAAGAGGCAACAAAGCUUCCUUCUCUUUUCUUUUUUCCCCCCUUCUUUUGGGCUGUCUAGCAAAAGCAGCAACUAACACUAAGAGUCUACAGUUUUGAAGCUCAAACUUCUGCUAUGCCGAAUCAAAUUAAGCGUUCUAAUGAAAAGAUGUCAUCUCUUUAUAUGAUGAUGAAGAUGACCAAGGCGACGCGAUGGAGGGGGUGAAUCCUUCAUCCGCACAAGUUUUAACCCGCCCGCCCUGCCCCACUUAACAGAAGUAUGCUUGCCUGAUGUGUUGUUUACAGUUCAACUAAAUGAUUUAAUUACAAUUGGAGAGAAGUAGAACGAAAUUGUGUGUGUAUUAAUGAGCCUCCAAUGGAGUUUAUAUACAAAGCAAACAAAACAGGUUGUGCUAACCUGGGCAGAUAAACGUACAUGACCUAUCCAAACUGAAUGAUAAAUAUACAGACUUAAAGCGUAAAUUAACUGAAGAUGACUCAUCCUAAUUUUCAGCUGCUUUCUGAGUUGUACGUGCUAUGUUACGCCCCCUCAAGUUAGGUGUAAAGAGAUAACACCUAACUUGGGAAGCAUCCGCAUGGUGAGCGGAUCUGCAAUUUGAUCAGGGAAGUGAACGUGUGAUACUCGAACUAGGACAUUGCGGACUUGGUUGCGAACAAAGUGAAGAUCAACCUCAAGUUGCUUCAUUUUCGCAUGAUGUAUCGGGUUUUCAACAAUGUAUGUGACCCCAAGG